This 479-nucleotide ribosomal RNA is filed under the name uncultured Planctomycetota bacterium. RNAcentral's name for it is "bacterial SSU rRNA". It matches the Rfam family "Bacterial small subunit ribosomal RNA", at positions 364 to 833 of the family's 1533-position model. The record is from RNAcentral. Lineage: Bacteria; Pseudomonadati; Planctomycetota.
UUUCGCAAUGCCCGAAAGGGUGACGAAGCGACGCCGCGUGUGGGAAGAAGGCCUUCGGGUUGUAAACCACUGUCGGGAGUUAGGAAAUGUAAGGGUGCUAAUAGUAUCCUUGCUUGACUAAGGCUCCGGAGGAAGCCACGGCUAACUCUGUGCCAGCAGCCGCGGUAAUACAGAGGCGGCAAGCGUUGUUCGGAAUUAUUGGGCGUAAAGAGCACGUAGGCGGCCUUGUAAGUCAGUUGUGAAAGCCUUCUGCUUAACGGAAGAACAGCAGCUGAUACUGCAAGGCUAGAGUGCGGAAGGGGAGAGUGGAACUUCUGGUGGAGCGGUGAAAUGCGUAGAUAUCAGAAGGAACGCCGGCGGCGAAGGCGACUCUCUGGUCCGUAACUGACGCUGAGUGUGCGAAAGCUAGGGGAGCAAACGGGAUUAGAUACCCCGGUAGUCCUAGCCGUAAACGAUGGGCACUAAGUAGAGGGGUUUUA